This 465-nucleotide ribosomal RNA is filed under the name uncultured bacterium. Its description in RNAcentral is "partial 16S ribosomal RNA". It matches the Rfam family "Bacterial small subunit ribosomal RNA", at positions 29 to 507 of the family's 1533-position model. The record is from RNAcentral.
AUGAACGCUGGCGGCGUGCUUAACACAUGCAAGUCGAACGAUGAAGCCCAGCUUGCUGGGUGGAUUAGUGGCGAACGGGUGAGUAACACGUGAGUAACCUGCCCUUAACUCUGGGAUAAGCCUGGGAAACUGGGUCUAAUACCGGAUAGGAGCGCCUACCGCAUGGUGGGUGUUGGAAAGAUUUAUCGGUUUUGGAUGGACUCGCGGCCUAUCAGCUUGUUGGUGAGGUAAUGGCUCACCAAGGCGACGACGGGUAGCCGGCCUGAGAGGGUGACCGGCCACACUGGGACUGAGACACGGCACAGACUCCUACGGGAGGCAGCAGUGGGGAAUAUUGCACAAUGGGCGAAAGCCUGAUGCAGCGGCGCCGCGUGAGGGAUGACGGCCUUCGGGUUGUAAACCUCUUUCAGUAGGGAAGAAGCGAAAGUGACGGUACCUGCAGAAGAAGCACCGGCUAACUACGUG